UACAGAGGGUGCAAGCGUUGUUCGCAAUUAUUGGGCGUAAAGCGCGUGUAGGCGGCUUUGCAAGUCGGGUGUGAAAGCCCUCAGCUUAACUGAGGAAGUGCGCCCGAAACUGCAGAGCUUGAGUACCGGAGAGGAUGGCGGAAUUCCCCAAGUAGAGGUGAAAUUCGUAGAUAUGGGGAGGAACACCGGUGGCGAAGGCGGCCAUCUGGACGGAUACUGACGCUGAGACGCGAAAGCGUGGGUAGCAAACAGG
RNAcentral lists this ribosomal RNA (253 nucleotides) under uncultured bacterium. RNAcentral describes it as "partial 16S ribosomal RNA". It matches the Rfam family "Bacterial small subunit ribosomal RNA", at positions 524 to 776 of the family's 1533-position model. The record is from RNAcentral.